RNAcentral lists this ribosomal RNA (491 nucleotides) under uncultured bacterium. RNAcentral describes it as "partial 16S ribosomal RNA". It matches the Rfam family "Bacterial small subunit ribosomal RNA", at positions 29 to 506 of the family's 1533-position model. The record is from RNAcentral.
AGUGAACGCUGGCGGUAGGCCUAACACAUGCAAGUCGAACGGCAGCACAGUAAGAGCUUGCUCUUACGGGUGGCGAGUGGCGGACGGGUGAGGAAUACAUCGGAAUCUACUUUUUCGUGGGGGAUAACGUAGGGAAACUUACGCUAAUACCGCAUACGACCUACGGGUGAAAGCAGGGGAUCUUCGGACCUUGCGCGAUUGAAUGAGCCGAUGUCGGAUUAGCUAGUUGGCGGGGUAAAGGCCCACCAAGGCGACGAUCCGUAGCUGGUCUGAGAGGAUGAACAGCCACAUUGGAAAUGAGAAACGGGCCAAAACCCUACGGGAGGCAGCAGUGGGGAAUAUUGGAAAAGGGGCGAAACCCUGACCCAGCCAUACCGGGGGGGUGAAGAAGGCCUUCGGGUUGUAAAGCCCUUUUGUUGGGAAAAAAAAGAAGCAGGUUAAUACCCCGCUGUUCGGACGGUACCAAAAAAAAAAGCACCGGCUAACUUCGU